AAGGUACUAGUACAACGGGCACUACAUUGCUUUGUCAAGGCAAAAAUGCGGGUUGAACUCCCGCGUACCUUA
Molecule: transfer RNA, 72 nt
Filed under: Synodus foetens (inshore lizardfish)
Lineage: Eukaryota; Metazoa; Chordata; Actinopteri; Aulopiformes; Synodontidae
Description: tRNA-Asp
Rfam family: tRNA
About the family: Transfer RNA (tRNA) molecules are approximately 80 nucleotides in length. Their secondary structure includes four short double-helical elements and three loops (D, anti-codon, and T loops). Further hydrogen bonds mediate the characteristic L-shaped molecular structure. tRNAs have two regions of fundamental functional importance: the anti-codon, which is responsible for specific mRNA codon recognition, and the 3' end, to which the tRNAs corresponding amino acid is attached (by aminoacyl-tRNA synthetases). tRNAs cope with the degeneracy of the genetic code in two manners: having more than one tRNA (with a specific anti-codon) for a particular amino acid; and 'wobble' base-pairing, i.e. permitting non-standard base-pairing at the 3rd anti-codon position.
Source: RNAcentral